UGGGGAAUAUUGGGCAAUGGAGGAAACUCUGACCCAGCGACGCCGCGUGCGGGAUGAAGGCCUUCGGGUUGUAAACCGCUUUCAGCAAGGAAGAAGCGAAAGUGACGGUACUUGCAGAAGAAGCACCGGCUAACUAUGUGCCAGCAGCCGCGGUAAUACAUAGGGUGCAAGCGUUGUCCGGAAUUAUUGGGCGUAAAGAGCUCGUAGGUGGUUCGUCACGUCGGAUGUGAAAAUCUGGGGCUUAACCCCAGACCUGCAUUCGAUACGGGCGAGCUAGAGUGUGGUAGGGGAGACUGGAAUUCCUGGUGUAGCGGUGGAAUGCGCAGAUAUCAGGAGGAACACCAAUGGCGAAGGCAGGUCUCUGGGCCAUUACUGACACUGAGGAGCGAAAGCGUGGGGAGCGAACAGGAUUAGAUACCCUGGUAGUCCACGCCCUAAACGAUGUCAACUGGUUGUUGGGUCUUCACUGACUCAGUAACGAAGCUAACGCGUGAAGUUGACCGCCUGGGGAGUACGGCCGCAAGGUUG
RNAcentral lists this ribosomal RNA (528 nucleotides) under uncultured prokaryote. RNAcentral's name for it is "bacterial SSU rRNA". It matches the Rfam family "Bacterial small subunit ribosomal RNA", at positions 355 to 896 of the family's 1533-position model. The record is from RNAcentral.